UUGUGGAUUGUUGUAUCCAGUUUGCUGCAUCACUGGUGUCUGUGGUAGAAAACCCCUACUUUCAUUCUCUAAUGAUUUCAGCCUUGAAUUUUUCAUGACUUGAGCUGAGAAGGGCUUUUUAGCAGCUCAUUGAUGUGUAAAAGGCCUGAUGGUAGAGUUGAUGUGGAGGUUUAGAGUUGAUCUGAUCAUUUAUCACUCCAGUGCUAAUCUGCAAAAUUGUAAUUAUUCGCCUACUUCAUGAUGUUGAUGUGGAGGUUUACAGUUGAUGUGGAGGUUUACAGUUGAUGUGGAGGUUUACAGUUGAUGUGGAGGUUUACAGUUGAUGUGGAGGUUUACAGUUGAUGUGGAGGUUUAGAGUUGAUGUGGAGGUUUAGAGUUGAUGUGGAGGUUUAGAGUUGAUGUGGAGGUUUAGAGUUGAUGUGGAGGUUUAGAGUUGAUGUGGAGGUUUAGAGUUGAUGUGGAGGUUUACAGUUGAUGUGGAGGUUUACAGUUGAUGUGGAGGUUUACAGUUGAUGUGGAGGUUUAUAGUUGAUGUGGAGGUUUACAGUUGAUGUGGAGGUUUACAGUUGAUGUGGAGGUUUAGACUAGAUGUGGAGGUUUACAGUUGAUGUGGAGGUUUAGACUUGAUGUGGAGGUUUAGACUUGAUGUGGAGGUUUAGACUUGAUGUGGAGGUUUACAGUUGAUGUGGAGGUUUAGACUUGAUGUGGAGGUUUAGACUUGAUGUGGAGGUUUAGACUAGAUGUGGAGGUUUACAGUUGAUGUGGAGGUUUACAGUUGAGGCGUAUCUUCCUCUGUCUGUGUACUGAAUCCCUGAUCCAAUUAUGUGGUCCAUUUGCUGUGUGUGUGUGUGUGUGUGUGUGUGUGUGUGUGUGUG
This is a long non-coding RNA of Oncorhynchus keta (chum salmon), 875 nucleotides long. RefSeq lists it as uncharacterized. The transcript is spliced from 3 exons. Lineage: Eukaryota; Metazoa; Chordata; Actinopteri; Salmoniformes; Salmonidae. The record is from RefSeq and is a predicted model, not a curated record.